Molecule: small nuclear RNA, 106 nt
Filed under: Castor canadensis (American beaver)
Lineage: Eukaryota; Metazoa; Chordata; Mammalia; Rodentia; Castoridae
Source: RNAcentral
UUGCUUGCUUCAGCAGCACAUAUACUAAAACGGAAUGAUACAGAGAAGAUUCACAUGGCCCCUGCACAAGGAUGGCAUGUGAAUUAGUGAAAUGUUCCCUAUUUUU